CAGCCGCCGCGGGAAUACGGAGGGUGCAAGCGUUAUCCGGAUUUAUUGGGUUUAAAGGGUCCGUAGGCGGAUCUGUAAGUCAGUGGUGAAAUCUCACAGCUUAACUGUGAAACUGCCAUUGAUACUGCAGGUCUUGAGUAAAUUUGAAGUGGCUGGAAUAAGUAGUGUAGCGGUGAAAUGCAUAGAUAUUACUUAGAACACCAAGUGCGAAGGCAGGUCACUAAGAUUUAACUGACGCUGAUGGACGAAAGCGUGGGGAGCGAACAGGAUUAGAUACCCCAGUAGUCCCUGUCUCUUAUAA
This 301-nucleotide ribosomal RNA is filed under the name uncultured bacterium. Its description in RNAcentral is "partial 16S ribosomal RNA". It matches the Rfam family "Bacterial small subunit ribosomal RNA", at positions 509 to 809 of the family's 1533-position model. The record is from RNAcentral.